Molecule: ribosomal RNA, 469 nt
Filed under: Sphingobacterium sp. 01WB04.3-59
Lineage: Bacteria; Pseudomonadati; Bacteroidota; Sphingobacteriia; Sphingobacteriales; Sphingobacteriaceae
Description: bacterial SSU rRNA
Rfam family: Bacterial small subunit ribosomal RNA
Source: RNAcentral
GAUCCUGGCUCAGGGAUGGACGCUAGCGGCAGGCCUAAUACAUGCAAGUCGGACGGGAUUCAGGGAGUAGCUUGCUACAGGACUGAUGAGAGUGGCGCACGGGUGCGUAACGCGUGAGCAACCUACCCAUAUCAGGGGGAUAGCCUCUCGAAAGAGAGAUUAACACCGCAUAACAUCAUUUACCGGCAUCGGUUUGUGAUCAAAUAUUUAUAGGAUAUGGAUGGGCUCGCGUGACAUUAGCUAGUUGGAGAGGUAACGGCUCACCAAGGCUACGAUGUCUAGGGGCUCUGAGAGGAGAAUCCCCCACACUGGUACUGAGACACGGACCAGACUCCUACGGGAGGCAGCAGUAAGGAAUAUUGGUCAAUGGAGGCAACUCUGAACCAGCCAUGCCGUCGUGCAGGAUGACUGCCCUAUGGGUUGUAAACUGCUUUUGUCAGGGAAUAAACCGUUUCUACGUGUAGGAAGC